This 450-nucleotide ribosomal RNA is filed under the name uncultured bacterium. RNAcentral's name for it is "bacterial SSU rRNA". It matches the Rfam family "Bacterial small subunit ribosomal RNA", at positions 328 to 795 of the family's 1533-position model. The record is from RNAcentral.
AGUCCAGACUCCUACGGGAGGCAGCAGUGGGGAAUAUUGCACAAUGGGGGAAACCCUGAUGCAGCGACGCCGCGUGAGUGAAGAAGUAUUUCGGUAUGUAAAGCUCUAUCAGCAGGGAAGAAAAUGACGGUACCUGACUAAGAAGCCCCGGCUAACUACGUGCCAGCAGCCGCGGUAAUACGUAGGGGGCAAGCGUUAUCCGGAUUUACUGGGUGUAAAGGGAGCGUAGACGGCAUGGCAAGUCAGAUGUGAAAGCCCGGGGCUCAACCCCGGGACUGCAUUGGGAACUGGCGUGCUGGAGUGCCGGAGGGGCAGGCGGAAUUCCUGGUGUAGCGGUGAAAUGCGUAGAUAUCAGGAGGAACACCGGUGGCGAAGGCGGCCUGCUGGACGGAUACUGACGCUGAGGCCCGAAAGCGUGGGGAGCGAACAGGAUUAGAUACCCUAGUAGUU